Molecule: long non-coding RNA, 708 nt
Filed under: Pan troglodytes (chimpanzee)
Lineage: Eukaryota; Metazoa; Chordata; Mammalia; Primates; Hominidae
Description: long non-coding RNA NONPTRT004237
Source: RNAcentral
AGUGGGGGAGGACAUCAGGGCUAGCCUGGCCAAGGAAUGAUUCCUGUAGAUCAGUCAGAGUGGUGGGAGAAACUAUAGGGAAAGGAGCAGACCUUCUGAAAAGUCGGAAGCCUCUGCAUAGCCUCCAGGGAGAAUAAGCUGAAGGCAGCUGUUUUCUGACCCUGAGGCAGAGGGCAAGGAGUAGGUACCAGGAAGCAUAGGGGAAUUUAUCAUAAAUAGGCUUGUUUACUUACAUUGACCAGGAGCUGACCUUUGAUCAUCCACAUGUGUGACCCGUUCCCUGAAAGGGGAACAAUAAUGUUAAUUACCCACAGAUUGUUUUUGCUCCAGGCUUUCAGCAUUAUGUCUAUACUGAAUAAAAGCAAGCAGCUCCAGCUGUUUGCCUGCUCACUCUUUGGCUGCUAGUGCCAAGCAGUCCCCUAGCUGCUCUUACACUGCAUACCUGCGUCUGAGUACUCGUUUCAUCCAUCGUCCAGCCAGGGUCUGUGGGACAGACCCAGCAACUGGUGCCCUGUGUGAGGAAUGCUGCAACAGAUCACGAUGGAACCCCAAAAAUGAGGUGAAGAGACUGUGCGGGAAGAUGAUGGGAAUCUUUGCAAAUUGUAUCUUCUGUUUGAAAGUGAAGUACUUACCUCGGCAGCAGAAGAAAAAGCUACAAACUGACAUUAAGGAAAAUGGCGGAAAGUUUUCCUUUUCAUUAAAUCCUCA